GAGUGAUGUAUGCACAGGGGAUAGUAGAUUUGUUUCCCUAUCUAGAAGACCCAUACUCACAACAUGGAUAUGAACAUUACUACGAUCCGGAGAGUGGUUCCGGAUACCUUGCAUGGCGAUUGAAGACCAUACAAAGAAAAACAGCAGAGGAAAGAGGUGCCUCAGUCAGCAAAUCUCCUAAAGUUGGUGGGCCAGGCCGUGGUCGUCAGCCCUUCACCUAUGACAGAGAGCCAUCUGAUGAGGAUGUGGAAGCAGCUAUUGCUGUUUUGAGACACUCUGCUGAUGAAAACACUGUCCGUGAGAAGAUGAAAAUGACCUUCGUAUAUCGGCAAGC
Molecule: long non-coding RNA, 334 nt
Organism: Perca flavescens (yellow perch)
Lineage: Eukaryota; Metazoa; Chordata; Actinopteri; Perciformes; Percidae
Exons: 3
Source: RefSeq, a predicted model, not a curated record